GGGGAUUUAGCUCAGUGGUAGAGUGCUUGCCUAGCGAGCGCAAGGCCCUGGGUUCGGUUCCCAGCUCCG
Molecule: transfer RNA, 69 nt
Filed under: Rattus norvegicus (Norway rat)
Lineage: Eukaryota; Metazoa; Chordata; Mammalia; Rodentia; Muridae
Rfam family: tRNA
About the family: Transfer RNA (tRNA) molecules are approximately 80 nucleotides in length. Their secondary structure includes four short double-helical elements and three loops (D, anti-codon, and T loops). Further hydrogen bonds mediate the characteristic L-shaped molecular structure. tRNAs have two regions of fundamental functional importance: the anti-codon, which is responsible for specific mRNA codon recognition, and the 3' end, to which the tRNAs corresponding amino acid is attached (by aminoacyl-tRNA synthetases). tRNAs cope with the degeneracy of the genetic code in two manners: having more than one tRNA (with a specific anti-codon) for a particular amino acid; and 'wobble' base-pairing, i.e. permitting non-standard base-pairing at the 3rd anti-codon position.
Source: Rfam by way of RNAcentral